Molecule: long non-coding RNA, 406 nt
Organism: Stylophora pistillata
Lineage: Eukaryota; Metazoa; Cnidaria; Anthozoa; Scleractinia; Pocilloporidae
Source: RefSeq, a predicted model, not a curated record
UUUUAAGUGUGUCGGAAUCUUUACACGUGGAAGGCGGAACUACACUAUCCUGCUUGCUUUAAAGCCUUAAAAUGCAUUUUUCGGUCAGACAACUCCUCUUCUAACAUGUCCUAGACGGGUAGAAGAUCUGACAGCGUUUGGUGUCUUAAAUGUCGAUCUUUGGUGUGUAACGGUCCUCGCAUGCAAGUUGGCGUCAGCGAUGGCAAGUCAAAAGAUUCAAACCAUGCAUGAGAAGACAGAAGUUUAGUCUUCUUUGAACUCUUAAUGGAAAGAUCUCACGAUCAUAUGAAGCAAGAAGAUUCAAGAAAAGAUGAUACUUUAGGAAUCAAGAAGUCUGUUGACUGAAAUCAAGCUUAUCAAAAAUUAUGUUACAACUGAAUAGGAAAUAAAGACGCGCCAAGGCGAA